This 67-nucleotide transfer RNA is filed under the name Stenocephus fraxini. Its description in RNAcentral is "tRNA-Val". The record is from RNAcentral. Lineage: Eukaryota; Metazoa; Arthropoda; Insecta; Hymenoptera; Cephidae.
CAAAUUUUAGUUUAAAUGAAAAUUAUUCUUUUACAUUGAAUAGAUAUAAAAAUUUUUAUAGAUUUGA